CUGGCUGAUAUGAUGACUGC
RNAcentral lists this non-coding RNA (20 nucleotides) under Arabidopsis thaliana (thale cress). Lineage: Eukaryota; Viridiplantae; Streptophyta; Magnoliopsida; Brassicales; Brassicaceae. The record is from RNAcentral.